Molecule: non-coding RNA, 246 nt
Filed under: Bacillus sp. (in: firmicutes)
Lineage: Bacteria; Bacillati; Bacillota; Bacilli; Caryophanales; Bacillaceae
Description: Bacillus sp. T-box sequence
Rfam family: T-box leader
About the family: Uncharged tRNA acts as the effector for transcription antitermination of genes in the T-box leader family.
Source: RNAcentral
CAAAAAUCGAUGACGAGAAGAGUAGCUUGUUAUUCUUGCACUACAGAGAGCCGGCGGUUGGUGAAAGCCGGUGUCAGGACACAAGUGAAAAUCAUCUCUGAGAUGCUAGGCUGAACUCACUCAGUAAGCCUUAGCCGGACUGCCUGCCGUUAAUCUAGGACGCGUAUGAUGGUACGUUGAUGAGAGCCGCAAUUCAUUAUUAAUUUGCGGAAGUAGGGUGGUAACGCGAGCAAGCUCGUCCCUAUA